RNAcentral lists this ribosomal RNA (468 nucleotides) under uncultured bacterium. Its description in RNAcentral is "partial 16S ribosomal RNA". It matches the Rfam family "Bacterial small subunit ribosomal RNA", at positions 28 to 507 of the family's 1533-position model. The record is from RNAcentral.
GACGAACGCUGGCGGCGUGCUUAACACAUGCAAGUCGAACGGAAAGACCCUGCUUUUGUGGGGUGCUCGAGUGGCGAAAGGGUGAGUAACACGUGAGUAACCUGCCCUUGGCUUUGGGAUAACUUCAGGAAACUGGGGCUAAUACCGGAUAGGAGCUCCUGCUGCAUGGUGGGGGUUGGAAAGUUUCGGCGGUUGGGGAUGGACUCGCGGCUUAUCAGCUUGUUGGUGGGGUAGUGGCUUACCAAGGCUUUGACGGGUAGCCGGCCUGAGAGGGUGACCGGCCACAUUGGGACUGAGGUACGGCCCAGACUCCUACGGGAGGCAGCAGUGGGGAAUAUUGCACAAUGGGCGGAAGCCUGAUGCAGCAACGCCGCGUGCGGGAUGACGGCCUUCGGGUUGUAAACCGCUUUCGCCUGUGACGAAGCGUGAGUGACGGUAAUGGGUAAAGAAGCACCGGCUAACUACGUG